GCCAUGUUUCUGUUAAUUCUCUAGUUUAAUAGUUAUGUCAAUUCACUAGCUUCAUGUUUAUACAGAUGAAGGUAACCAAACUAGUUUUACCUGUGAACAGCUGCCUGUGAUAAAGCUAAAUUUCUGAAUGUCUUUAAUUGAAAUUUUGAAAAUUAUUAACAGGAAGUAAAUAACAUGGAUCACAUCAUAAACUGCACUCAAGAAAAUCCCUAAAAUGCUUUUCCUUUAUUACAACAAAUAAGGGUGCAGAGGGUCACAUGGAAUGUUUCAUCUUUUGUCUGCUUUGUUUUUUUUAUUCUUUUAAGGAAAGGAAUUUGAGGGGUGGUUUAAACAGCAGUGCCUGGAAUCAAAGUAUUUCCUACGACACCCUCUAAUGUACUUCCUUCUCUCCAUGCCCACGGGGUCUGCAGGAUUCUCAUCUUUUCAUGUUCACAGUAUUAAAAUACUUCAUACAAUACCAAAGACAGUUCCCAACCAACCAUCAAAUAUGGGUAUUUCUUCCAUCUCCUCAUAAAUGCAAAAGGAAAUAACUGCAUUAGGAUCAUUCUUUUUUAUUUGGAGAUGAAAGUCUCACUCUGUCAUCCAGGCUGGAGUGCAGUGGCAUGAUCUCUGCUCACUGCAGCCUCAGCCUCCUGGGUUCAAGCAAUUCUCCUGCCUCAACCUUCCAAGUAGCUAGGACUACAGGCGCACACCGUCACAUCCGGCUAAUUUUUUUUUUCUUUUUUCUUUUUUUUUUUUUUUUUGAGACGGAGUCUCGCUCUGUCGCCCAGGCUGGAGUGCAGUGGCGCGAUCUCGGCUCACUGCAAGCUCCGCCUCCUGGGUUCACACCAUUCUCCUGCCUCAGCCUCCCGAGUAGCUGGGACUACAGGCGCCUGCCACCAAGCCUGGCUAUUUUCUUUUUUGUAUUUUUAGUAGAGGCGGGGUUUCACUGUGUUAGCCAGGAUGGUCUCGAUCUCCUGACCUCAUGAUCCACCCGCCUCUGCCUCCCAAAGUGCUGGGAUUACAGGCGUGAGCCACCGCGCCUGGCUACAUCCGGCUAAUUUUUUGUAUUUUAGUAGAGAUGGGGUUUCACCAUGUUGCCCAAGCUGGUCUCAAAACUCCUGAGCUCGGGCAGUCUGCCUGCCUCGGCCUCCCAAAGUGCUAGGAUUACAGGUGUGAGCCACCGCGCCCAGCCUAGGAUCAUUUUUUUCUGUCCUAGGUGUUGAUUUUUUAAAUAAGGGUUUGCAGUACUGGUGUUUAGUGGUGCAACAAUUUCCAUUUAAUCAUCUGGCAUACUCAAAGAGAGGAUACCAGAUGACUAAGAGUAUACCUCGCAGAGAGUAUACCAGAUGGCUGAGAGUAUAUCUCACAGAGAGUAUACCAGAUGACUGAAUGGGGAUUAGAGCGAGUAUUUAAACUCUUCAUUCAUUGAUCCUGUUAAAGGAAAGCUUACUUAAUAACAUAAACUCUUGGUUAUGAAUUAGAUGUUUCUCCUAUGAAAGCUUGUGGGCAUCUUUGAGCAACUUAAUACCUGAUUAUUUCUGUUCAAAAAUGCCGAGAACUAAAAAUCCAUUCAAACCUUUACUUUUCUCGUUUUGGAAAAGUGCAUGAGGUGUUCCUUUUGGUAAAAAGACACACUGUGCGACCACAGAGACCUGAGCCUGAACCUAUGAAGAUGUGAACAAGGUGAACAAUGAGACUAUGUAAAGGGGAGGUUAAUUCCAAGGUGACAGGAGCUUUAUGGAGAAGAUUAUGAUUUCUACACUUUGUAUCCCCUUCUAACUCUAGUAUGAAGUUACAUUGUAUACGUUGGUGCUCUAAUCUCAGUCUGUGGAUAUUAGAUAUUAAGAUUGGGGAGAAAAUAAAACAGCCAGUUAAUGUGCACCAUUUUUAUAGGCACUGUCAGUAGCAUAUAAGAAAUAGCAUGUUUCUCAAAAGUAAAUCAGUUCAUAGUAGUCAGGUGGCACAUUUGGCAGGUACUUCUGUGAGCUUUUUUUUGCUAUCUUUAAACUCUUCAUUCAUUGAUCCCGUUAAUCCAAAGCUUAUUUAAUAACAUAAGCUUUUGGUUGUCAAUUAGGUGUCAGGAAAAACAGAGAAAUGAACAGCUAAUAUAAUGAGUUAAAAGGAUUGAGGCUGUAGGAAUAAUGUUACCAAGAAUAACUUUAGGAUUGUUUGCUACUGUAGCUAGCUGUGAUUAUCAAAAUAGGGAGAUGCCUGUUUUUCUCACAUAAAAGUAAUUGUGCAGGUAGGCUGAGGCUGACAUUGGUUCAGUUGCUCAAACAUAGUAAGACUGGCUUCCCUGUGCCUCUCUUCACUCUCCUUUCUGGUGCACAAUGACCAAGAGAGCUCCUGUCAUGUCUCCAUCCAUCAUGUCUCCAUCCAAUUAUAAGUAAAGAAAAUGCAGCACAAGCCCUGCCUGCACCCACAGUCAGGAAAAGCAAGAGGCUUUUUUUGAAUCCUAGCAGAAUUUUGCAUAAGCCUCUUGGUUUUAAAAAAGGUGAAUUUUAAAAUAAUAAAAUAAAAUAAAGCACAAACUCUGAGGCCAAGGUAAUAGGAUUUAAAUCUGUGCUCUGCCACUUAGAAAAAUUACUUAAAUUCUCUGUUCUUUAGGUUGCACACCUGUAAAAUGGGAGGAAGAAAAUAAUAUUUGACUCAUGGUUUUUAAAAUUUGAGGUGUUAUUUCUUUAAUAAACAGCUGCUAUCAUUUGAGAACACUUGCUAUUUAGGCAGUUAGGAAUUUUUCAUUAGAAGGGAUGUAAAGAAAGGAAUUUUUCAUUAGAAGGGAUGUAAAGAAAGACGAUGGGCAUUUGUAAUGGAUUUAACAUUCAUCAUUUGGCUGCCUGACUGACCCCCAGUGCUGUGAUUUUACUAAUGAAUUUUUCAGAAGUCCCUUAGCUAGGAAUGAGCCUAACCAGCCUCCCACUCUCACCAUUCAGUGCUCUUGUUCUUAUGUGUUUCUCUACAAACUUGGUUACUCUCACAAAGUGAUAAAAACUUGCAUUUCUUUUCUUUCCUUUUUAGAGACAGGAUCUUGCUCUGUCACUCAGGUUGCAAUGCAGUGGUGUGAUCAUGGCUCGCUGUAGAUUCAAACUCCUGGGCUCAAGCAGUACUCCCGCCUCAGCCUCCCAAGUAGCUUGGACUACAGACGUACACCACCAUGCAAAGCUAAAUUUUUUAUUUUUUUGUUGUAGAGAUGGGAUCGUGCUAUGCUGCCCAGGAUGAUCUCAAACUCCUGUCCUCAAUUGAUCCUCCUGUCUCAGCCUCCCAAAGUGCUGGGAUUAUAGGCAGCCAUGGGCCAUCUGUGUCCAGUCUGCUAUUUUCUUUUUUUAAAUAACAACUUUAUUGAAAUGUAGUUCACAUACCAUGCAAUUUAUUUAUCAAAGUAUGCAAUUCAGUGGUUUUUAGAAUACUCAUGGAGCUGUGAUCUAUCACUACUAUCCAUUUUAGAAGCUUUCAUUACCCUAUAGAGAAAUCCGCUGUUCUUUGCCACUAGCUAAGAACAUGGCGGGGAGUAAGCUAGUGGCUUACUCCCCUCAACACUUCUGUGUUCCCCAUAGGCAACCACUGAUCUAUUUUUUGUCACCAUAGAUUUGCCUAAUCUGGACCUUCUAUAUAAAUAGGGUGUGCAAUAUGUGAUUGUUUGUGGCUGGGUUUUUUUUCCCUCUUAGCACAGUGUUUUCAGAGUUCCUUCCUGUCAUAGCAUGUGUCAGUAUUUUGUUCCUUCUAUGGCUGAAUAAUAUUCCAUGGUACAGAUACACCACAUUUUAUUUAUUCUUCAGUUGAUGAACAUUUGGGUUGUUUCCAUGUAUUGGCUGUUAUGAAUAAUGCUGCUAUGAAGAUUCAGGUACAAGUUUUUGUGUGGACAUACAUUUUUAUUUUUCUGGGAUAUAUACCUAGGAGAGAAAUUGUUGCAUUCUAUGAUGUUGUACAUUUAGCCUUUUGAGAAACUGUUUUCCAAAGUGGUUACACCAGUCAGGUGCAGUGACUGAUGUAAUCCCAGCUACAUGAGAGGCUGAGUUGGGAGGAUCACUUGAGCCUGUGAGUAAAGAGAGACCAGCUUGGGCAAGAUAGCAAGACCCUGUCUCGGUUUUUGAAAAAUCAAAUUAAAAUGACAAGAAGACAGGUACGGUGGCUCAUGUCUGUAAUCCCAGCACUUUGAAAGGCCGAGGUGGGUGGAUAACUUGAGGUCAGGAGUUCAAAACCAGCCUGGCUGGGUAUGGUGGCAGAUGCCUGUAAUCCCAGCUACUCGGGAGGUUGAGGCAAGGAGAAUUUUUUGAACACAGGAGGUGGAGGUUGCAGUGAGUCAGGAUCACACCACUGCAUUCCAGCCGGGGCAAAAGAGUGAGACUCUGUCACACAAAAAAAGUAAAAAUAUAAAUAAAUAAAUAAAAUGACAAGAAAAGAAACACCCAAAGUAGUUAAACCAUUUUGUGUUGCCACCAGUAAUGUAUGUGGGUUCCAAUUUCUCCACAUUUUCACCAACAUUUCUUUUUUUGAGAUACGAUCUCACUGUGUCACUUAGGCAGGAGUGCAGUGGUGUGAACACGGCUCACUGCAGUCUCGAACCCCCAGAGACUCGUGAUCCUUUUAUUUCAGCCUCUUGAGAAGUUGGGACUACAGUCAAACUCCAGCACACUCAGCUAAUUUCUUUUAUUUUUAGUAGAGACAGGAUUUCACUAUGUCACCCAGGCUGGUUUCUAACUCCUGGACCCAAGUGAUCCACCUUCCUUGGCCUCCCACACUGCUGGGAUUAUAGGUGUGAACCACCAUGCCUGGUCCUCUCUCUCUUCCCUUUCUUUCUUGGUAGAAGGAAACGUGUCAUGUACCAGCUAUCCAUCCAAUGACUGCCCAUCAGUUCCAUAUUCACCCUUCACUGCCUGAUCUGCAAACAUAGAGGAAGUGACCUCAUAAUGACUCAAGCUACCACUUACUGUUGAUUGUGAUGAAAUGCCAGUGGAGGCACAUGCCUUGGGAGCUAAGUGGCUGCUGCACUUGACCACUAUGAAGACUGGUGUGGGAAGAAUCCUUUUGGAUGCACUUCAGCAGGGACCCCUGAUCCCUGGGUCACAGGUCUGUACUGGGCCACACAACAGGAGGUGAGUAGAGGGUGGGGGAGCGAAGCUUCAUCUGUAUUUACAGCUGCUCCCCACAUUACCACCUGAUCUCUGCCUCCUGUCAGAUCAGCGGCAACAUUAGAUUCUCAUGUGAGCACGAACCCUAUUGUGAACUGUGCAUGCAAGGGAUCUAUCUUGCUCUGUCCUUAGGAGAAUCUAAUGCCUGAUGAUCUUUCAUUGUCUCUCAUCACCCCCAGAUGGGACCAUCUAGUUGCAGGAAAAGAAGGUCAAGACUCCCACUCAUUCUACAUUAUGCCUCAGCCAAGAUGUCUCACCCUACUCUCUAUGAUGCAACAAGAAGCCCCUGGGGAACGUUUCAGUCCCAGUCUAUACUAUUGUCAUGUGCUCAUCACAGUCUGCUGGAUCUACCAUGAAAGACUUCAGAGUCCAGGAAGAGAGACUGACUGGGCAACAUGUUAUUCAGUUACAAAAAGACUUGGACUAUGACUCAAAAAUGAUCAAAUAAUAGUUCAUGCAUCAAAUGCAAUAGGAAGUACUUCUGGAGGGUGAGAGAAGCAUCCAGUUAAGGUGACAUUGAAGCUGGGUCCUGAAAGAUGAGGAAGAAUUGUAUGAGAGUGGGCAGAGAAGGGGGAGGUGGAGGGAUGGGGAAUGGGCUGGGAUGGAGUGAGCUGCUCAAGCAGGGAGACCAGCACUGUAAAGACCUGGAUGAUAAAGACGGCACAUUUUAUUCAUGGAAUGGUGAAUUAAGUGUGGCAGGAAUGCUUUGGAGAGAUAGUAAUUUGCUUGUAUGGAAUUUUGCCCGAGAGGCCUCAUUACAGUUUCUAAUCUUUUGAUGUUAUCAUCUAUCACUGUCCUUGUCAAAUAGUUUGGAAUAGGUAUAAUGAUCACAAUAACAUCAAGCAUAAUAUUUCAUUAAUUCUCACAAAAUCACAGGUAGGUGCCACAGUUAUCCCCAUUUUGUGAAUGAAGUGAUGAAGACUUAGGAAUAAUGAGUGAUUUGCCCAAGCUCACCUGGAUAUUAAGACUGAGUCAAAUGUGGGGUCUGGUCUGACUUUAAUGUUUGCUUUGUUCAUGAGCACCACGUAUUGCCUCUCCUAUGCAGUUAAGCAGGUAGACAGGUGAAAGAAAAGCCCGUGUUAGUCUCUACUCACACACUUCCGACUGAAUGUGUGUGUGGAAUUUCUACACCAAGUUCUCCAAUGCUCUGGAUAUUAACUGGGUAUCCUACAAUUUUAUUCUGACACUUCCUGGAGUUGGCGUAGACCCCACAGGUUACGGGCUCAGUCCCACAAGACCACCCUUGCUUCACAUUGCAAUGGCAAGUCCUAGGUUGUCACCUGCACUUUUGACCAACCUGUUACAAAUCAGGGGUUCCCAUGACCCCCUCUUGGUGUUUAAUCAUUUGCUAGAGCAGCUUACAGAACUCAGAAAAAGUUUGUUUCCUUUUUUUCUGAGAGACAGGGUCUCAUUUUGUUGUCCAGGCUGGUGUGCAGUGGUGCAGUCAUAGCUCACUGCAGCCUCGACUGCCUGGGCUCAAGUGGUCCUCCCACCUCAGCCUCCCUAGUAGCUGAGACUAAAUGCUUGCACCACCAUUUCUGGCUAAUUUAUUUUUUGUAGAGAUGGGGUCUUGUUAUGUUGCACAGGUUGGCCACAAAUUCCUGGGCCCAAGUGAUCCUCCCACCGCAGCCUCUUUGAAGUGCUGGGAUUACAGAUGUGAGCCACCACAUUUCCUAUUACUGGUUCCUUGUAAAGGAUACAUUGCAGAAACAGCUAAUGAAAGAGAUGUAUGUGCCAGAUGCAGUGGCUCACGCUGUAAUCCCAACACUUUGGGAGGCCGAGGUAGGAGGAUUGCUUAAACUCAGGAGUUUGAGACCAGCCUGUGCAACACGGUGAAACCCUGUCUCUGUAAAAAAUUUUUAAAAAGCUGGGCACGGUGGCUCAAGCCUGUAAUCCCAGCACUCUGGGAGGCCAAGGUGGGUGAAUCACGAGGUCAGGAGUUGAAGACCAGUCUGACAAACAUGGUGAAACCCCGUCUCAACUAAAAAUGCAAAAGUUAGCCAGGCGUGGUGGCGCGCACCUACAAUCCCAGCUACUUAGGAGGCUGAGGCAGGAGAAUCGCUUGAACCUGGGAGGUGGAGGUUGCAGUGAGCUGAGAUAGCACCACUGCACUUUAGCCUGGGCAACAGAGCUAGACUCUUGUCUCAAUAAAUAAAUUAACCGAGUGCGGUGGUGUGCACCUGUAGUUCCAGUUACUACAGAACUAGACUCCAUCUCAAUAAAUUAAAUAAGUAAAUAAAUAAAUGAAUAAAUAACUGAGUGUGGUGGCAUGCACCUGUAGUUCCAGUUACUAGGGAAGCUGAGGUGAGAGGAUGUUUUGAUCUGGGGACUGGGGAGGCUUAGGUUGCAGUGAGGUAAGAUUGUGCCACUGCACUCUAGCCUGGAUAAAAGAGCCAGACACUUUCUCAAAAAAAAAAAAAAAAAAAAAAAGAUGCCCAGGGCAAGGUAAGUGGGGAGGGGCACAGAGCUCCCAUGCACUUUAUUGAACAUGCCACCCUCCCAGCAUCUCCUAUGUUCAGCAACCCAGAAGCUCUGCAAUCCCUGUUGUUCAGGGUGUUUAUGGAGGCUUUAUUAUGCAAGCACGAUUGAUAAAAUCCGUGGCCAUUGGUGAUUAAGUCAAUCUCCAGCCCGUCUUGCCUCCUGGAGUUAAGCGGGUGAUGCUGAAAGUUCCAAGCCUCUAAUCAUGUGGUUGCUUUUUCUGGCAAUCAGCCCUCCUCCUAAAGAAAUCUAGGAGCUUGCAGCCACUCAUCAUCUCAACAAUAUCCCCAAAUGCAUUCUUGUCAUGCUUGAGAUCCCAAAGUUCUUAAAGUCUCUUGUGUUAGAAACCUGGGACAAAGACCAAAUAUUAAAACAAAAGAUGCUCCUAUCACCUCUAACACUGAGGUCUUUAUAAGAGCUUUAGAAGCUCUGUGCGAGGAACCAGGGACAGAGACCAAAUAUAUUUUUCUGUUCUUUUUUUGAGACAAAAUCUCCCCAUGUCAUUCAGGGUGGAGUGCAGUGUUGUGAUCAUAGCUCACUACAGCUUUGACCUCCUGAGCUCAAGUGAUCCUCCCACCUGAGCCUCUUAAGUAGCUGGGACUACACAUGCAUGUUACCCAUGCCCAGCUCAUUUUUGUAGAGAUGAAAUUUAAUUAUGUCGCCCAGGCUGAUCUCAAACUCCUGGGCUAAAGCGAUCAUCUCACCUCAGCCUCUCAAGUAGCUGGGAGUACAGGCACACACCACCAUGUCUGGCUAAUAUUUAUUUUUAUUUUUUCAUAGAGGUGAGGUCUCACUAUGUUGUCCCGGCUGGUUUCAAACUCUGGGCCUCAAGUGUUCCUCCUGCUUUGACCUCCCAAAGUGUUGGGAUUAUGGGUGGAAGCCACCAUGCCCAGCAAUUACAAGGAUUUUUUUUUGUUUUUUUUUGUUUUUUGAGACGGAGUUUCGGUCUUGUUGCCCAGGCUGGAGUGCAGUGGCGCGAUCUCGGCUCACCAAAACCUCCACCUCCUGGCUUCAAGCGAUUCUCCUGCCUCAGGCUCCAGAGUAGCUGGGAAUACAGGCAUGCGCCACUACACCCGGCUAAUAUUUGUAUUUUUAGUACAGACGGGGUCUCUCCCUGUUGGUCAGGCUGGUCUCAAACUCUUGACCUUAGGUGAAUCACAAUGAUCUUUAUAAAAGAAAGAGGGUAGGAGAGUCAGAACUGGAGCUGGAGAUGUGAUGGAAGCCGAGGUCAGAGAGGGAGAUUUGAAGAUGCUUCACUUCUGACUUUGAAAAUGGAGCAAGGGGCCAUGAUCCAAGGAAUGGGGGUGGCUUCUAGAAGCUGGAAAAGCCAAGAGAAAAUGUUAGAGCCUAGAGCCUUCAAAAGGAAUGCAGCCCUGCUGACACCUUGACUUUAGCUUUAAUAGACCUAGUUUGGGCUUCUGGCCCCCAGAAUUGUAAAGAUGGUUGAUCUGUGUUUUUAGCCACUAAAUGUAGGAAAGUUUCUUGCAGCCACAAGAAGAAAUGAACAUGAAGCCAGGCAUGGUGGCUCAUGCUGGUAAUCCCAGCACUUUAGGAAUCCAGGCAGGAGGAUCACUUGAGGCCAGGAGUUCAAGACUAGCUUGGGCAACAUAGUGAGACCCUGUCUCUACAAAAAAUUUAAAAAAUGGCUCAGUGCAGUGGCUUGUGCCUGUAAUUUCAGCACUUUGGGAGGCUGAGGCAGGCAGAUCACCUGAGGUCAGGAGUUCAAGAACAGCCUGGCCAACAUGGCAAAACCCCAUAUCUAAUGAAAAUACAAAAGUUAGCCAGGUAUGAUGGCACGCGCCUGUAAUCCCAGCUACUAGGAAGGCUGAGGCAGGAGACACCCUUGAAACUGGGAAGUGGAGGUUGCAGUGAGUCAGGAUCGCACCAUUGCACUCCAGCCUGGGCAAGAAGAGCGAAAUUCCAUCUUAAGAUAAAAUGAAAUAAAAUAAUAAAUCAGCCAGGCAUGAUGACAUGGACCUGUAGUCUCAGCUACUAGGGAGGCUGAGGUGGGAGGAUUGCUUGAGCCCAGGAAUUGGAGGUUGCAGUGAGCUGUGAUUGCACCACUGCACUCCAGCCUUGGUGGCAGAGUGAGAUCUUGUCUCCACAAACAAACAAACAAACAAACAAAAAAAAAAGAAUAAUUAUGGUAGGCAUGGGGACAGAUGGCAAUGUUAAUAGAAUAGUCAGGGUGGCCUCCUAAGUAAAAAUUGAGCAAAGACUUGAAGGAGGGGAAGGAGUUGGCCAAGGUGCUGAGGGAAGAGCAUUGUAGGUAGAAAAAACAGAAUAAGGUGUCUGAGGUGUGUCUGAGGCUCUGGAAGGAGGCCAGUGGAGCAGGAGAGAGGGAGAGAAUUAGGGCAGUAGGCCAGAGAUUUGCUGGGCAGGGAUCAGUACAGACCGUGUAAGCCCUGGGAGGUUAUUGCUGGGCUAGAUAGGAAAUUCAGGAGGGUUCUGAGCAGAGAGGCCACGUGAUCUGUCUGCCGAUUUAAAAGCAUUCUCUGGCUGCUGAGUUGAGAAAGACUGUGGGAAGAUUUGGGUAGAAGCAUGGGGGCCAAGCUGUGGCAACAUCCAGGUGGGAGAUGAUAGUGGUCUUGACCAGGGUCAUGGUGGUGUUGAGAGAUGGUCAGAGGAGAGAAGUAGGGGGAGGAGGCCAGGGAGUUGCUGGGUGGGGAUCUUCAGUACAUGUUGAAGCCAGUCAACAGGAUUUCCUGUCAGACUGGAUGUGGAAUGUGAGAGAAGGCAGGGGUCAAGGUUGAGUUAGAUUCUUACCGAAUUAUUAAGUAAUUUUAAAAAACACUACUGUCUUUCCCAGUCCUAUCAAGUAUGGGAUACUAGAUUAAAGAAAUAUCUUCAGGCUCAGUGUAGUGGCUCAUGCCUGUAGUCCCAGCUGUUUGGGAGGCAGAGAUGGGAGUAUCUUUUAAGGGCAGUAGUUCGAGACCGGCCUGGGCAACAUAGCAAGACCUCCUCUCAAUAAAUAUAUUUUUCAAAAUUUAGUAAAACGAAAUGUAGCUAAGCAUGCUGAUGUGUACUUGUAGUCCCAGCUACUCAGGAGGCUGAGGUGGGCAGAUCUUUUGAGGUCAGGUGUUUGAGGCCAGCUUGGGCAACAUAGCGAGACCCCACACUCUACAAAAAAAAUUUAAAAAAUAGCCAGGUAUGGUGGCACUCAACUGUGGUACCAGCCAUUGGGGAGCUGAGGCAGGAAGAUGGCUUAAAUUCAGAAGGUUGAGGCUUCAGUGAGCUAUAAGUGCACAAGUGCUCUCCAGCCUGGGCGACAGAGCAGGACCGUGUCACAAUACAAAUUAAGUAAUUAAAUCAUAAGUUAGAGCCUUUAGGCUUUGUAGCCCUUGCAACCCCGGAGCCAUGCAGUGGGAUUUGCAUCGCUGGGAAUGAAGAGACCCCUGCCCAGUAUUGCUGCCUGACUAAUCAGUGUUUUAAAAAAUAUAUGAAUCUGUUGGGAGGCCGAGGUGGGCGGAUCACGAGGUGAGGAGAUCUAGACCAUCCUGGCUAACACGGUGAAACCCUAUCUCUACUAAAAAUACAAAAAAAUCAACCGGGCAUGGCAGUGGGCACCUGUAGUCCCAGCUGCUGGGGAGGCUGAGGCAGGAGAAUGGCAUGAACCUGGGAGAUGGAGCUUGCAGUGAGCCGAGAUUGUGCCACUGCAGUCCAGCCUGGGGAACAGAGCGAGACUCUGUUUCAAAAAAAAAAUAUAUAUAUAUAUAAAUAAAUAUAUAUGUAAAUAUAUAUAAUGUAUAAAAAUAUAUAUGUAAAUAUAUAAUAUAUAAAUAUACAUGCCAAUAUAUAUUAAUAUGUAUGUGAAUAUUAAUAUAUAAAUAUAUAUUAUAUAUAAAUAUAAAAAUAUAUGUAAAUAUAUUAAUAUAUAAAUAUACAUGCAAAUAUAUAUUAAUAUGUAUGUAAACAUUAAUAUAUAUGUAAUAUAUAUAAUUAUAUAUAUUAAUCAGUGUGGGCACAAUGGCUUACACCUGUAAUCCCAGCACUUUGGGUGACCGAGGUGAUCAACUGAGGUCAGGUGAUCACCUGAGGUCAGGAUUUCGAGACCAGCCUGGCCAACAUGGCUAAACCACAUCUCUACUAAAAAAACAUAAAAAUUAGCCAGCCAUGGUGGUGGGCACCUGUAAUGCCAGCUACUUGGGAAGCUGAGCCAGGAGAAUUGCUUGAACCCAGGUGGCGGAGGUUACAGUGAGUCAAGAUCGUGCCACUUCACUCCAGCGUGCGUGAGUCAGACUUUGUUUCCCCCCCAAAAAAAAGUACUACUUACGUCAACUUGUAAUGGUUUUAUUAUUCAUGUGUAAUGAAUGUAUAUUUUAAAAAUUUGUCCUGUACUAUAUCAAUAUGAAAUGGUUUUAUUAAUAUGUAAUGAAUAAUAUUUAAAAAUUUUUGUCUUAUUUUCUAAUUUUAAUAUAUUUAUAUAAAGAAAAAGGCUUAAGAGAUCUUCAGUAGAGUUAAAAAAUGUAAAGGGAUGCUAGACCCAAAAAGAUUGGGAACAUGUAGUUUAGACAUAUUCAGAGUAAGCCACGUACAACUUGCUACUUUACCUAUUUUCUUUCCUUCUUUUUUUGUUUUGUUUUGUUUUAGAAGGUGAGGUCUCCUCUGCAACCCAGGCUGGAGUACAGUGGUGCAAUCACAGCUCACUGUAGCCUUGAACUCCUAGGCUAAGGCUCCUCCUGCCUCAGCCUCUUGAGUAGCUGGGACUGUAGUUAUAUAUGAUGACACCUGGCUAUUCUUUAAAUUGUUUUGUAGACAUGGGGUCUCACUUUGUUGGCCAGGCUGGUGUCAAACUCCUGGCCUCAAGUGACCUUUCUACCCCUGCCUCCCAUCCUAGAGGUAUGAGCCACCACAACAAGCACUUGUUCGAUUUUCUAAAAAACAAAUUUCCAAAUUAAGGCUGUGGGAUGAUGGCUAGAAGAUAAAAGUGGAAAAACAGAAGAAUAGGCCGGGCGCGGUGGCUCACGCCUGUAAUCCCAGCACUUUGGGAGGCCGAGGUGGGCGGAUCGUGAGGUCAGGAGUUCGAGACCAGCCUGGCCAACAUGUUGAAACCCCGUCUCGACUAAAGAUACAAAAAAAUUUAGCCAGGCGUGGUGGCACGUGCCUGUAAUCCCAGCUACUCGGGAGGCUGAGGCAGGAGAAUCGCUAGAACCUGGGAGGUGGAGGUUGCAGUGAGCUGAGAUUGUGCCAUUGCACUCCAGCCUGGGUGACAGGGCAAGACUCUAUCUCUAAAAAAGAAAAACAGAAGAAUAAAUUCUAAUGACUUACACAUAUUCUUUUGACAGCAAGAAGAACUUUUAGUAAAUACAUUCCUUACAAACAAACAGAAGGCAAAUAAACACUUGUACAGGAACUUCAACACACACUGUACAAUAUUCCCACUUUGCUGAUGUCAGUUAUGGAAAUUCUUCACGGUUUACUUGACUAUCGCUAUCAGUAUUUUGCAUCUCUCAUCAUUUUUGUCAACUUCCUCAUCUGCUAACUUCUCUCCAAGGUAUGUCAUAUUGUGACAUACUGCUGCUGCACAAACAUGGCCAGUGUAAUCCUAUUAAACACGUAGAAUCCUUCCCUAAUUUGUUUUUUUACCCUCUGUCUCUUUGUUUUGCAUUUUUCUUACCCUUAUUGUCAGAAACUCCAGAAAGUCAAUCGUAGUGAUUUAUCACCAAUUGCUCAAUUAAUUUAUACUUUGCUUACAUGGAAUUUUGCCCAACAGACAUCAUUACAAUUUCUAACCUUUUUUUUUUUUUC
Long non-coding RNA from Gorilla gorilla gorilla (western lowland gorilla), 13337 nucleotides. RefSeq lists it as uncharacterized. The transcript has 4 exons. Lineage: Eukaryota; Metazoa; Chordata; Mammalia; Primates; Hominidae. The record is from RefSeq and is a predicted model, not a curated record.